Molecule: ribosomal RNA, 415 nt
Filed under: uncultured Streptococcus sp.
Lineage: Bacteria; Bacillati; Bacillota; Bacilli; Lactobacillales; Streptococcaceae
Description: bacterial SSU rRNA
Rfam family: Bacterial small subunit ribosomal RNA
Source: RNAcentral
AAGAACCUUACCAGGUCUUGACAUCCGAUGCUUAUUUCUAGAGAUAGAAAGUUACUUCGGUACAUCGGUGACAGGUGGUGCAUGGUUGUCGUCAGCUCGUGUCGUGAGAUGUUGGUUAAGUCCCGCAACGAGCGCAACCCCUAUUGUUAGUUGCCAUCAUUCAGUUGGGCACUCUAGCGAGACUGCCGGUAAUAAACCGGAGGAAGGUGGGAUGACGUCAAAUCAUCAUGCCCCUUAUGACCUGGGCUACACACGUGCUACAAUGGUUGGUACAACGAGUUGCGAGUCGGUGACGGCGAGCUAGUCUCUUAAAGCCAAUCUCAGUUCGGAUUGUAGGCUGCAACUCGCCUACAUGAAGUCGGAAUCGCUAGUAAUCGCGGAUCAGCAUGCCGCGGUGAAUACGUUCCCGGGCCUU